This 604-nucleotide long non-coding RNA is filed under the name Daucus carota (carrot). RNAcentral describes it as "long non-coding RNA (DCAR_LNC004091)". The record is from RNAcentral. Lineage: Eukaryota; Viridiplantae; Streptophyta; Magnoliopsida; Apiales; Apiaceae.
AAAAUUAAAUUUAAUUGCAUAAUAAGUUGCACUGGUUGCAAAAGACAAAAAAUAAGUGGCCCUGCAAGGGCCAAUACUAAUAUCACAAAAGUAAUUAUGAAAUCAACUAAAAAUAACCAUAAAAUCAACUAAAAACAACCAACGUCCUUUUCCGUCCCUCUCUCUUCAUAUCAAUAACAUACCUCUUCCCUUCCCCUAUUCGAUCUCAAAUCAUCCAUCACCCGUAACCCUGCAAUUGAAUACACUAUUCUCUUUUCAUUCACAUUUCCAAUUGACUUGUUGAGGGGUUUUUUCGGCUGAAGCCUUGGCAGCCUUGCAGAGGCCUUGACGGCCUUGCUGAGACCUUGAAUGAUUUGGAGUCAUCGUCAGUAGAGAGAUUAUCAUAUUAGACUUGCUGCAUAUCAGAAGUGGACAUCACGAAGAUAACGGGUCAUAAAGUGUUUGGAAACUGAGAAGGGUAAUAUUGGAUCAGAGUGGUGCUAUGGCAUGGAACAUACCACUUGGAGGACUUAUAUGGGAGGCCUAUCUCGAAGGUUUGGAAUGCAGAGCACUUGUGAAGAGAUUAUAGGUAGAAUCAUGUAUCUGCCACAGUGCAAUAUAACAG